AAGGUGAACCUGCGGAAGGAUCAUUACAGUAGUCGCCCGGGUUGCCGCAAGGCCUCCCGGGUAACCUACCACCCUUUGUUUAUUACACUUUGUUGCUUUGGCAAGCCUGCCCUCGGGCUGCUGGCUCCGGCCGGCGAGCGCUUGCCAGAGGACCUAAACUCUGUUUGUCUAUACUGUCUGAGUACUAUAUAAUAGUUAAAACUUUCAACAACGGAUCUCUUGGUUCUGGCAUCGAUGAAGAACGCAGCGAAAUGCGAUAAGUAAUGUGAAUUGCAGAAUUCAGUGAAUCAUCGAAUCUUUGAACGCACAUUGCGCCCCCUGGUAUUCCGGGGGGCAUGCCUGUCCGAGCGUCAUUACAACCCUCAAGCUCAGCUUGGUGUUGGGCCCCGCCGCCCCGGCGGGCCCUAAAGUCAGUGGCGGUGCCGUCCGGCUCCGAGCGUAGUAAUUCUUCUCGCUCUGGAGGUCCGGUCGUGUGCUCGCCAGCAACCCCCAAUUUUUUUCAGGUUGACCUCGGAUCAGGUAGGGAUACCCGCUGAACUUAAGCAUAUCAAUAAGCGGAGGA
This 562-nucleotide ribosomal RNA is filed under the name Geomyces sp. BC7. Its description in RNAcentral is "eukaryotic LSU rRNA". The stretch from base 200 to 353 matches the Rfam family "5.8S ribosomal RNA". The record is from RNAcentral. Lineage: Eukaryota; Fungi; Ascomycota; Leotiomycetes; Thelebolales; Pseudeurotiaceae.